Non-coding RNA from Pelobates cultripes (western spadefoot toad), 215 nucleotides. The record is from the annotation of a GenBank genome assembly. NCBI's taxonomy places the organism in Eukaryota, Metazoa, Chordata, Amphibia, Anura, Pelobatidae.
GGCAGAGCAGAUGAAUUACUGAUAUGUAUCCAGUUCUAGAAACAAGGUAAGACUAGAAUAGGCACCAAACAAGAAAACAAGGCAAAACUAGCAGAAACGAAGAAGGAUAGAAAGCUGAACCCAGAACAUGUACACAAUACUUAAGGGAAACAUUAACAGAACAGGGGCAGGACCGUACAUGGAUUGGGAAUACAAAAUAAGACAAACGAUAUAAG